Molecule: ribosomal RNA, 375 nt
Filed under: uncultured bacterium
Lineage: Bacteria
Description: bacterial SSU rRNA
Rfam family: Bacterial small subunit ribosomal RNA
Source: RNAcentral
GACGAACGCUGGCUGCGUGCCUAAUACAUGCAAGUCGAACGCACUCUCGUUUAGAUUGAAGGAGCUUGCUCCUGAUUGAUAAACAUUUGAGUGAGUGGCGGACGGGUGAGUAACACGUGGGUAACCUGCCCUAAAGUGGGGAUAACAUUUGGAAACAGAUGCUAAUACCGCAUAAAAACCUAACACCGCAUGGUGUAGGGUUGAAAGAUGGUUUCGGCUAUCACUUUAGGAUGGACCCGCGGUGCAUUAGUUAGUUGGUGAGGUAAAGGCUCACCAAGACCGUGAUGCAUAGCCGACCUGAGAGGGUAAUCGGCCACACUGGGACUGAGACACGGCCCAGACUCCUACGGGAGGCAGCAGUAGGGAAUCUUCCAC